RNAcentral lists this ribosomal RNA (208 nucleotides) under uncultured soil bacterium. RNAcentral describes it as "partial 16S ribosomal RNA". It matches the Rfam family "Bacterial small subunit ribosomal RNA", at positions 27 to 246 of the family's 1533-position model. The record is from RNAcentral.
GGAUUGAACGCUGGCGGCAUGCCUAACACAUGCAAGUCGAACGGGAGUAGCAAUACUCUAGUGGCGGACGGGUGAGGAAUACGUAGGAAUUUGCCCUUAAGUGGGGGAUAACCCGGGGAAACCCGGAUUAAUACCGCAUGACCUCGAAAGAGCAAAGUGGGGGAUCGCAAGACCUCACGCUUUUGGAGAAGCCUACGUCGGAUUAGCU